This 409-nucleotide unclassified non-coding RNA is filed under the name Hevea brasiliensis (rubber tree). The record is from RNAcentral. Lineage: Eukaryota; Viridiplantae; Streptophyta; Magnoliopsida; Malpighiales; Euphorbiaceae.
UUUUGAGAAAUCAUCAACAAACUGAGAAGAAAGCUUGUAAUCUUGUUCGCAAAUUCUCUGAAGAACGCUGUAAAUUUCUCUAUUCUGGUGCAGGAUCUUCUCUAAAUUCUGUUGGGACACAAAAACAUGGCUAUGCUUCAGGAUCAGAAUAUCAAUAUACAUUUUGAUGGUGCUUCUUUGUUUGGAAAGAAUGAAACUUCCAAAGCCCUGAAGAAAGGAGGAGGACUUGGCGGAAGAAAAGCACUUAAUGACAUCUCCAACUCAGCAAAGCCUUCUUCUCUGCAGGCAUCAAAGAAAAACUCCACAAGUGUUAUUUCCAUCGGGAAAGAUCUUAAUGCCACCAAAAACAAAUUUAUUGCUGGGACAAAGGAUAACCUUGCUAAAGUACCUGACAAGGGUGGCAGGAAAG